GCCCCCAUAGCUCAGUUGGUAGAGCGCGGCACUAGUAAUGCCGAGGUCUGCAGUUCAACUCUGUAUGUGGGCA
This is a transfer RNA of Pseudogymnoascus sp. WSF 3629, 73 nucleotides long. It matches the Rfam family "tRNA". From Rfam's summary of the family: Transfer RNA (tRNA) molecules are approximately 80 nucleotides in length. Their secondary structure includes four short double-helical elements and three loops (D, anti-codon, and T loops). NCBI's taxonomy places the organism in Eukaryota, Fungi, Ascomycota, Leotiomycetes, Thelebolales, Thelebolaceae. The record is from Rfam.